AGUGUUUGUCUCCCGUGUCAGUGUUCCGUCUAUCAUGCAGCGCUGCUUUAUAGUGUCUUGUAUAAAUCCUAGUGUAGUUUACGUGUCGCUCCUUCAUCAGUUUAGCCGAUGUUUCCCUCUCACACACAUCAGCGCUCUCACAGGAGUCGUUCUGUAAUCUGCAAAUGUGGAAACAUCAUUUCCACACGGAUGUCGUCAUUCCCAGACACAAACAUGCCCUCAGCGCCUGGCAGGAGAUUUGAGCCGCCAUUACUGUAAUGAAAAACUGAAGCAUGGAGGAGCGAUGCCGCUUCAUUAGCACUGCGCAGCCACAGAGAGGAUUAAAGCCAAACCGCUUUAUGACGGAAAAAAGACGUAAGAGUUUAAAAGCACAAGAGAGGAAUGGGAGAGGACGUGCAUAGCAGUCGCUCCGGGCCGCAGUCCAGCACAUGCCUCUGGGAAAGUGUCUGGAAUUAUCCAGAGCCGGAUGUGGACACAAUGAGCCGCGAGCUGCUGGACGCUCCGCUGUUUUUCAUGCACACUUUCUGCUGUGUGUGAUGCGGAAACUACAGAGAGCGAAUCAGCCAACGCAAAUAUUGACUACAGGAAGACA
RNAcentral lists this long non-coding RNA (592 nucleotides) under Danio rerio (zebrafish). RNAcentral describes it as "lncRNA si:ch211-113i9.6 (ENSDARG00000105331.2)". The record is from RNAcentral. Lineage: Eukaryota; Metazoa; Chordata; Actinopteri; Cypriniformes; Danionidae.